RNAcentral lists this ribosomal RNA (301 nucleotides) under uncultured bacterium. Its description in RNAcentral is "partial 16S ribosomal RNA". It matches the Rfam family "Bacterial small subunit ribosomal RNA", at positions 509 to 807 of the family's 1533-position model. The record is from RNAcentral.
CAGUCGCCACGGUAAUACGGAGGGUGCAAGCGUUAAUCGGAAUUACUGGGCGUAAAGCGCACGCAGGCGGUUUGUUAAGUCAGAUGUGAAAUCCCCGAGCUUAACUUGGGAACUGCAUUUGAAACUGGCAGGCUAGAGUCUCGUAGAGGGGGGUAGAAUUCCAGGUGUAGCGGUGAAAUGCGUAGAGAUCUGGAGGAAUACCGGUGGCGAAGGCGGGCCCCUGGACAAAGACUGACGCUCAGGUGCGAAAGCGUGGGGAGCAAACAGGAUUAGAUACCCGGGUAGUCCCUGUCUCUUAUAC